This 543-nucleotide ribosomal RNA is filed under the name Aurapex penicillata. Its description in RNAcentral is "partial large subunit ribosomal RNA". It matches the Rfam family "Eukaryotic large subunit ribosomal RNA", at positions 374 to 942 of the family's 3401-position model. The record is from RNAcentral. Lineage: Eukaryota; Fungi; Ascomycota; Sordariomycetes; Diaporthales; Cryphonectriaceae.
CCUUGAAAAGGGGGUUAAACAGUACGUGAAAUUGUUGAAAGGGAAGCGCUUGUGACCAGACUUGCGCCGGGCGGUUCAUCCGGGGUUCUCCCCGGUGCACUCCGCCCGGCUCAGGCCAGCAUCGGUUUUCGUUGGGGGAUAAGAACGUCAGGAACGUGGCCCUCCUUCGGGUGGGUGUUAUAGCCUGGCGUACGAUACCCUGACGGGGACCGAGGUUCGCGCUCCGCAAGGAUGCUGGCGUAAUGGUCAUCAGCGACCCGUCUUGAAACACGGACCAAGGAGUCGUCCAUUAGAGCGAGCGUUUGGGUGUCAAACCCGCACGCGUAAUGAAAGUGAAAUUAGGUGAGAGCUUCGGCGCAUCAUCGACCGAUCCUGAUGUUCUCGGAUGGAUUUGAGUAAGAGUUUUAACGGACGGACCCGAAAGACAGUGAACUAUGCUUGUAUAGGGUGAAGCCAGAGGAAACUCUGGUGGAGGCUCGCAGCGGUUCUGACGUGCAAAUCGAUCGUCAAAUAUGAGCAUGGGGCGAAAGACUAAUCGAACCU